RNAcentral lists this small nuclear RNA (106 nucleotides) under Catagonus wagneri (Chacoan peccary). The record is from RNAcentral. Lineage: Eukaryota; Metazoa; Chordata; Mammalia; Artiodactyla; Tayassuidae.
UUACUUCAGCCUCAGCAGUGCAUAUACUAAAACUGGAAAGAUACAGAGAUUAGCAUGGCCCCUGCACAAGGAUGACAGGCAAAUUUGUGAAGUGUUCCACAUUUUU